Molecule: non-coding RNA, 2941 nt
Organism: Phalacrocorax carbo (great cormorant)
Lineage: Eukaryota; Metazoa; Chordata; Aves; Suliformes; Phalacrocoracidae
Source: RefSeq, a predicted model, not a curated record
AUUAAACCCCAAUAUUUUUUUUCUGUAGUGAAAGAUCUAAAUAUGUUUACAUUUCAAAAUUACAAAAAUUAGUCAUAUCUUGAAUAAUUACAAUCUGGAAAAGUUGAAAAAGUUCUAUCUGAAUGCUUUUGAUGAUGUUAGUAUUGUAUGACAGUACAGAAUUGAUAGAAAAAAAUACUUCUUUGAACAAUUGUUCUCAGAUUUCUUUUCUUUAUUUUUGGCUUUUUUCUUCCUUUUCUCUUUCUCCCUUCUUUUUAUUUUCUUCUUCUGUUGUUUUUUUGGUGUUUUUUUUUUUGGCAACUACCUCCCAUUCCCCUAGCUCUAUGUCCCUGAAAUGUAUGCAGUUUGUGUGUUCCCAGCCCGCUGUUGGGAUCCAUUAGCGUGGAUCAUUGUGCCUGGAUGGAGCUGAGUGAUUCAAGCCCUACCUGUUGUAGUGCGCUGCAUUUAGACGGUUGUAGCACAGAAACGGGCCCACUUCAUCAGGUAGUCUCUCUUUUGACAGCUUAAGGAUUUAUCAAGUUUGGUACCUCAUAAACCACAUGAAUGUUCUUUUGACUUAAGAUUUAAAUGACUGUAAAUUUGUAGUAAUAUAUUCGAAGUGCCAAAGGUUAUGUACUAAGUUAUGGUACGUUUACUGUGGAAGUUAGGUUUUGCACUCAAUUAGAUUUUAGUUUCCUAAUUACACCAAGAUGUAUUUCAGUUACUCAGUAUUUCCAUAAAAGUUCUUAAACAUUUUCAAAUGUUUGGCCGAAGCCAGUGGUUUUCUCAUAUUGUUAAUGAGGAAGUGUUGUGCAAUUGUUCUGAAUUCCACAGUCAUUUUUAAACUAGCUGGUAUGAGACCAUCUGUAGUAUCUACAAUGAUUAAGUCAUACACACCAAUGGGGUUUAACAGGUAAACCAAUCAGAGAAGAUGCUCCAAUGACUUUUCACUUGCAAGCCAACUUAUAAUUAUUAAAAUUAAACUCUACUAUAUUUAGCACCUCUGAAAUCACUUCUUUUAGGAUGUAAAUGUAGAAUAUCAAACUGCAUAAUUGACUAAAAGCAGAUCAUUUGACAUAUUUGCAUACCAAGAACGAUAAGCAGAUUAAAGGUAGCGAAAAGAUCAAUUUUUGUGCAUUAGUGAAGAAAUUUAGUGAAGCUUUGAAUGUGCUAUCUAGUCUUUAUCUGAUCUGUAAGUGAAUAAAAGCACCUUUUGUUUCCUAGAGUUUAUCAAGGAAGAGGGGAGAACGACAAAUGUAAUUUAGGAAGAGGUAAAGUUACUGGAAGAGGCAGAAUGGGACAUUUACAACUAUGAAAAUAUUUUUGUAGAGCUCUAACAGCUAAAGAUACGGGCUGCUUUUGGAGCAGUUCUGGAAAGCAUGUCAUUUUCGGCUUAGAAGAUUUUAACAUUCUUCUAUAUUUUGAGAUUAUUUUUGAAAAGCAUCUUCACCUCACGUAUGUUUUUUGAACGAUGUAUCUUUCGAAUGAAAACAUUUCAUACAGAGAAAUGUAUACUUUGAAAACAAAAAAAGUUCUGUUUCUCCCAUAGGAUAAAACUGUAAACUUUCUUGCAGAUUAUUGUAAAACCCUAAUAACUUGCUGCUUACAGUCAGUCUUUCUUGCCCUUUAAAAUGUAGGGAUGAAAAUUUUGGACACCUCCACAUUAUUUUAAUUUUUUUUUUCUCAAAAAUUAGCAUAAGAGUUCCUCCAUGCACACACUAUACUUUGAAAUUAUCCUCUGAAACAUAGCGACAUUCUUCACUUUAAAGAACAAAUAUCAAGGCCAUAGUUUAAUGUUGUAUGCAACAAAUUUAAACUUUCUGCCAUUCAAGAAGGAUAUUUAUUAUUUAUAUAUGUUACCUCUUGCUGCUGUAUUUUAUAUUUAGCUUGGUUUUCCACCUAAUAAUGAAUGUAGCAUUCUCCCUAGAUUAUACAUAACUACAUUUGUUGCUGUUGGCUCCGUAUCAAGAACAUUUUGUAAUUUUCCACCUGUGAAAAUGUUGCCUUGCAUUUAGAAAGGUUUCAUGAUUUGGGGACCUAAUGAAACUCAUGCUCGUUAGGUACUAGUCUGCAUUUCUUUCUCUACAGGAUGCCCUUUCUUAGAUGCAUCUUAAACGAACUGCUGUCUUAAUAUGUUUACUGCUGCACUGGAGGUGUAGUUACACUUCCAGCUUUAAAGAAAGAUUAUUGUCCUACAUCAAGUAUCUAAAAAUAAAACCCAGCCAGAAUGACAGAAGACUGGAGCAUUCUCCCCCACCUCCUGGCAUAGGUUUCCAUCAGCUCUUUCACCCUGUAUCUCAUGGCUUUGCAACUGUCCUGAAGGGAUCUGCUCUCAUCCUUUGAUGUUGUUUAGCCCCCAAGACAUCUCUUCUGCCUUCCAUAGCUUGCAGCUUUUAAUUCAGUGUUAGAAGAAAGGACCUUUUUCUAGCUGUGGUCACCACUUCAAGAAACUACCUGUUUCAGGGCAGCAUACUGAGACCUCCAAGAGUGAGCAGCUCUAAAGGCAAAUUAAAGUUUCAUGCAGACAGGGGUGAAGUACAGGUGACAGCUUUGGCGAUUCGCCACAAAUUGUGCAGAAAGUUGUAAUGCGGAGGGAACCUGAACCAAAGCCACCCAUCGUUCAGGCUAGUGAUAUAAUCAGCAGAUGAUCUUCUGGCCCUGCUGUUGUGUUCUGGAUGAUCCCUAUGAAAAGGAUCAGGCAUCGAGGUGUCAGCAAGGUUGGGAAUCUCAUGAUGUAUGCUCUGGAACAGCCUGUUCUUAUAAUUUUAAGAGGCAUGAGCUGGCACGCAUAUUUUUGCCUCUGGGGCUUUCUGCUGGCGCAGUGCGCUUUGUUGGGCUCUCCUCAAACCUCCGGGUGCUGCUCCUGGGAGAAUCUUCCCUGCGUGGGGCGAAGGUGCAACACCCAGUCAUGCUCUGCUGCAUUCCAGGAGCGCUGCCUGAGCCCAAAAUAGAAACUCCUAAC